Molecule: ribosomal RNA, 478 nt
Filed under: uncultured bacterium
Lineage: Bacteria
Description: partial 16S ribosomal RNA
Rfam family: Bacterial small subunit ribosomal RNA
Source: RNAcentral
GACGAACGCUGGCGGCGUGCUUAACACAUGCAAGUCGAACGGUAAGGCCCUUCGGGGUACACGAGUGGCGAACGGGUGAGUAACACGUGGGUGAUCUGCCCUGCACUUUGGGAUAAGCCUGGGAAACUGGGUCUAAUACCGGAUAGGACCAUGCACUUCCCGGUGUGUGGUGGAAAGCUUUUGCGGUGUGGGAUGGGCCCGCGGCCUAUCAGCUUGUUGGUGGGGUAAUGGCCUACCAAGGCGACGACGGGUAGCCGGCCUGAGAGGGUGACCGGCCACACUGGGACUGAGAUACGGCCCAGACUCCUACGGGAGGCAGCAGUGGGGAAUAUUGCACAAUGGGCGCAAGCCUGAUGCAGCGACGCCGCGUGAGGGAUGACGGCCUUCGGGUUGUAAACCUCUUUCAGUAGGGACGAAGCGCAAGUGACGGUACCUACAGAAGAAGGACCGGCCAACUACGUGCCAGCAGCCGCCGUAA